Long non-coding RNA from Sitophilus oryzae (rice weevil), 525 nucleotides. RefSeq lists it as uncharacterized. The record is from RefSeq and is a predicted model, not a curated record. The transcript is spliced from 3 exons. NCBI's taxonomy places the organism in Eukaryota, Metazoa, Arthropoda, Insecta, Coleoptera, Curculionidae.
AACAAACAGAGCAAGAAAUGAACAAAUAACUACAUAAUGACUGAUAAUGAUAAGUGAUAAUAAUAACUUUAAUGAUAUGAAGGCUGAUGAAGGUAAUUAUAAACAUUAUUUUGAGUUUGUUUAAUAAAAUAUAGGAUACAAUAUAACUAAGCAAAAUCAAACAGUUUUAGACAACCAAUACAAGAUUUUAGAACUUGACAUCGUGAUAAACAAAUUGUACAUUCAGGAACUCGUUUAAAUAUUAUAGGUUGAUUGACGAAUACUCUACAGUUGAUUAGAGCCCAUGAUGAUGCGAAGAUAAUUAAUAUCACCUAACUUCAAGAAACCAGCGUAAAGAAGUUUACAUUCACAACUCAUCUAACCAUUAUAGAUCAGUAGUGUCGUCAUAGUUUAAAUGAACUCACAGAUAGCAAUGGGGCACUGCACCGAAGCAGUAUUACAAAAUAUGUGAAAUAAAACUGUAAUACAAAUUGCUCUAUAAAAUUUAAUAGAAAUAAAUUUAUUUAUGAAAAUUAAGUUAUGAAG